RNAcentral lists this ribosomal RNA (433 nucleotides) under uncultured bacterium. RNAcentral's name for it is "partial 16S ribosomal RNA". It matches the Rfam family "Bacterial small subunit ribosomal RNA", at positions 28 to 507 of the family's 1533-position model. The record is from RNAcentral.
GACGAACGCUGGCGGCGUGCCUAACACAUGCAAGUCGAACGAGACCUCCGGGUCUUGGUGCGCACGUGGGCGUAACGCGUGGGAACCUGCCCUUAGGUUCGGAAUAACUCCCCGUGAGGGAUGCUAAUACCGCUGAAUGUCUUCGCGCCAAAGAGUUAUCGCCGUUGGGUGGGCGCUGGUUGGUUUAGCUGGUUGGUAGUGUAAAAGCCUGCCAAGGCGUCGAUGCAUGGCUGGUCUGGGAGGAUGAUCAGGCGCGCUGGGAAUGAGACCCGGCCCAGACUCCGACGGGAGGGAGCAGUAGGGAAUAUUGGAGGAGGGGCGAAAGUCUGGUCCAGCAGUGUGGCGUGAGUGAUGAAGGCCUUAGGGUUGUAAAGCCCUUUUACCCGGGAUGAUAAUGACAGUACCGGGUGAAUAAGCUCCGGCUAACUACGUG